RNAcentral lists this ribosomal RNA (253 nucleotides) under uncultured bacterium. RNAcentral's name for it is "partial 16S ribosomal RNA". It matches the Rfam family "Bacterial small subunit ribosomal RNA", at positions 524 to 776 of the family's 1533-position model. The record is from RNAcentral.
UACGGAGGGUGCUAGCGUUGUUCGGAAUUACUGGGCGUAAAGCGCGUGUAGGCGGCCCGCUAAGUCUGAUGUGAAAGCCCGGGGCUCACCCCCGGAAGUGCAUUGGAGACUGGCGGGCUCGAGUCCCGGAGAGGAGGGUGGAAUUCCUGGUGUAGCGGUGAAAUGCGUAGAGAUGUGGAGGAACACCAGUGGCGAAGGCGACUCUCUGGUCUGUAACUGACGCUGAGGCGCGAAAGCGUGGGGAGCGAACAGG